GGGACACGUGGUAUCCUGUCUGAAUAUGGGGGGACCAUCCUCCAAGGCUAAAUACUCCUGACUGACCGAUAGUGAACCAGUACCGUGAGGGAAAGGCGAAAAGAACCCCGGCGAGGGGAGUGAAAAAGAACCUGAAACCGUGUACGUACAAGCAGUGGGAGCACCUUCGGGUGUGACUGCGUACCUUUUGUAUAAUGGGUCAGCGACUUAUAUUCUGUAGCAAGGUUAACCGUAUAGGGGAGCCGCAGGGAAACCGAGUCUUAACUGGGCGUUAAGUUGCAGGGUAUAGACCCGAAACCCGGUGAUCUAGCCAUGGGCAGGUUGAAGGUUGGGUAACACUAACUGGAGGACCGAACCGACUAAUGUUGAAAAAUUAGCGGAUGACUUGUGGCUGGGGGUGAAAGGCCAAUCAAACCGGGAGAUAGCUGGUUCUCCCCGAAAGCUAUUUAGGUAGCGCCUCGUGAAUUCAUCUUCGGGGGUAGAGCACUGUUUCGGCUAGGGGGUCAUCCCGACUUACCAACCCGAUGCAAACUACGAAUACCGAAGAAUGUUAUCACGGGAGACACACGGCGGGUGCUAACGUCCGUCGUGAAGAGGGAAACAACCCAGACCGCCAGCUAAGGUCCCAAAGUCAUGGUUAAGUGGGAAACGAUGUGGGAAGGCACAGACAGCCAGGAUGUUGGCUUAGAAGCAGCCAUCAUUUAAAGAAAGCGUAAUAGCUCACUGGUCGAGUCGGCCUGCGCGGAAGAUGUAACGGGGCUAAACCAUGCACCGAAGCUGCGGCAGCGACACUAUGUGUUGUUGGGUAGGGGAGCGUUCUGUAAGCCUGCGAAGGUGUGCUGUGAGGCAUGCUGGAGGUAUCAGAAGUGCGAAUGCUGACAUAAGUAACGAUAAAGCGGGUGAAAAGCCCGCUCGCCGGAAGACCAAGGGUUCCUGUCCAACGUUAAUCGGGGCAGGGUGAGUCGACCCCUAAGGCGAGGCCGAAAGGCGUAGUCGAUGGGAAACAGGUUAAUAUUCCUGUACUUGGUGUUACUGCGAAGGGGGGACGGAGAAGGCUAUGUUAGCCGGGCGACGGUUGUCCCGGUUUAAGCAUGUAGGCUGAUUGUCCAGGCAAAUCCGGAUAAUCAAGGCUGAGGUGUGAUGACGAGGCACUACGGUGCUGAAGUAACAAAUGCCCUGCUUCCAGGAAAAGCCUCUAAGCAUCAGGUAACAU
Molecule: ribosomal RNA, 1213 nt
Filed under: Klebsiella pneumoniae
Lineage: Bacteria; Pseudomonadati; Pseudomonadota; Gammaproteobacteria; Enterobacterales; Enterobacteriaceae
Description: partial 23S ribosomal RNA
Rfam family: Bacterial large subunit ribosomal RNA
Source: RNAcentral